This 235-nucleotide ribosomal RNA is filed under the name uncultured bacterium. RNAcentral's name for it is "partial 16S ribosomal RNA". It matches the Rfam family "Bacterial small subunit ribosomal RNA", at positions 28 to 260 of the family's 1533-position model. The record is from RNAcentral.
GAUGAACGCUAGCGGCAGGCCUAAUACAUGCAAGCCGAACGGCAAGGUUUUCAGCAAUGGAGACCCUAGAGUGGCGUAAGGGUGCGUAACACGUAUGCAAUCUGACCCUCAACAGGAGGAUAGCUCCCCGAAAGGGGAUUAAGCCUCCAUAGGAUCUUAGAGUGGCAUCACUUAGAGAUUAAAUUACCAGAGGUUGAGGAUGAGCAUGCGCAUGAUUAGUUAGUUGGCGGGUAAA